CUCCAGCAAUCUGAUUCUAGGAUUGUGGGAUUCUCCAGAAAGCCUGGAAUAAUAUGCCUCCAUUUGCUGCCAUUUAAUGAGUGCCAGCUCUGUGAAUGGUGCCUCACUUACCUCAGUUCAUUUAAUCCUCAACAUACCUCUGAGAUUCCUGUUUUACAGGUGAGACCCAGAAAGGUUAAGUGACUCACCCAAGGUCUCACAGUAAAAGGAUUCAAACUUGGAUUUUCCUACUCUUAAACCCCACAGCAUUCAUCAUAUGUUCAAUCGGACAAGGUCAAACAAAAUUGGUUAGGGUAAUACCAUCCUCCUAGGAGGCUUUUGAAAUGUGUUGGAAUGUAUUUUCAUGUGUCACAAUGACUGUUCUCCUGGCAUUUAGUGAGUGGGAACCUAGGAGGUUAAAAUCCUGCAAUGCAUGGAAGAACUGUCCUUUAUUGAGAAACACUAGGCCAGAAGUUUACAGGCAGAGAACUCAUCAUUCAUUCAAGAGAUAUUCCUUAAGCAUUUAUUAUGCAUGAUGCUAGAUGCUGAAGAUGAAAUAAUGAACAAAACUGCUUGUGAUCUCUGUCCACAAGGUGCUUAUAUUCUAGUCUGCAGCCUGAUAAUAAACACGUAUAGUAAUUACAAGUUGUGAUACGUAGUAUGAAGUACAAGCAGAGUAUCUUUAGAUGGCGGGGGGUGGGGAACAGAGGAUCAGGGAAAGAUCACAAAGGCUGACUAGGCCAGCUUCUCACCCUUUCAUGGGCAUACAAAUCACCUGGCAAAUGUGGUAAAUUGUGGGGUGGGGCCUAGGAGUCUGUAUUUUUGACAAGUUUCCAGGGGAUGCCAAGGCUACACAUCCUUGGACCAUCCUCUGAGCAGUGAGGGUGAAGGCAAUGGCAAAGAGUUUGGAUUUUAUUUUAAGCAAGGCAGGAAAGAUACCGUUGAAGGGCUGUAAACAAGUCAGUGAUGUGAACCCAGUUAUAUUUAAGAUCACUCCUGUUUCCUAGAUCUCAAGCAGAGAGAGGAAGAGGUUGGACCUACACUGUUUGACUGAAACCAGCUGGCCCACACUGUCACAGUCACAGCCAGGGUCUAAGGCUCAUUUCUGCGACUCACACUUGCCUCUCUCCGCUGGCUCCUCUGGCAGAAGCCUUUGGCUCCAAGCACAGACCAACCCAGUUGCCUUACAAGCUUGGGCGCCUUCGGGAAGUCUAGUACAGCUUGACAGGGCGUGGAUUCACACUCCCAGCACUCCGGCAUGCACACUGGUUGGGAACCUGGGAAAUGCUGGAAUCCUAUCGGAACGCGCAGAUCCUUCUCCCUCCCCCCAAAGACUGGAUGAUGUAAGCGUUUCGGCUAGCGGGGCUCUGGAGCAAAACAAGCCCCUCGCGCGCGGACCGACCUGCAGUGCCCGCUGCCGGCGCACGCACGACCCCCACCCCCACCCCGACUCGUGUUAUUGCUGUGCACACGCGGACCGCCGUGACGCGCGGGCAUUGUGUGCAGCGAGCCGAAAACAACGGCGAGCGCAGCCAGCGAGAAGAAGCGCCCCAAUAAAGCCAGACAGAUGUAGGGCCCGCUGUUUCUGUUCGCGGAGACCCAGACCCGACGCUGGAGGGGUGGGGGGGGUGGUACAGAGAGUGGACAGGGUAAAGUGGCCUCCGGGGGCUGCUCCUGUUUUCAGGAGGGGUAAUGGAGGGGCGGGCGGAUGGUCGCCUGGAGUUUGCUGGGGUCACUCCGCCGGGGUGAGCUGUUGAGUGGGCUAGGGCCUGGAGCUGGGAUCCCCUCUCCAGCAGCCAAGCCGGGCACGACGCGGCGCCCCCACGCGCUUGGGGGAAUCUGGGGGCUGUUGGCAUCACGUCAUACAGAACCAAACAGGGGCGGCGAAAAGAGGCGAGAGAACUAAAAAUACUCCCGCGGGGAGCCGGCCAAAGGAGGGGGACUGCGGGACCGAGGGGCUGAUUACGCACGCGAAGUUGACUUUGGCUAGGCGCUGAGGUGCCCAAGCCUCUCUCGGGGACUGCGGGCUUGCCGCGCGGACACCUUGAGAGAGGGGCGGGCAGGAAGCCCCUCGGCUUCCCCUGCCUUGAGAGCCCGCUCCGCCGCCGCCGGCCCGCCCUGCGCGGGGCAGCCCGGCGGGGUGCUCCUGGCCCUCUGCUUACGUGACUGGCGGCCACGCCGGAGCUCCGGCACCGGGUAAACAAGGAGGUGGCGGCAGCCAGGAGGUUGGGGGGGGGGCAGGAGAUCCGAUUGUCUGCGGGUGCGAAGGAGUGGGGAACGCAGAGGAAGCUCUGGUCGCCUCCCUAAUACCCUCGCUGGGGCGGGAGGGGGGGGCGACAAACUAGAUUCACCGCACACUGCCAAGGUGCCCUCUUGGGUGCACCCGAGCCAGAGCCGGCGCCCCGGGGCUAGGAGGCGGCAGGGGGCUAAAGAAAUCGCGCCCCUCCCCC
Molecule: long non-coding RNA, 2429 nt
Filed under: Dasypus novemcinctus (nine-banded armadillo)
Lineage: Eukaryota; Metazoa; Chordata; Mammalia; Cingulata; Dasypodidae
Description: lncRNA (ENSDNOG00000052812.1)
Source: RNAcentral